AUUGAACGCUGGCGGCAGGCCUAACACAUGCAAGUCGAACGGUAACAGGAAGAAGCUUGCUUCUUUGCUGACGAGUGGCGGACGGGUGAGUAAUGUCUGGGAAACUGCCUGAUGGAGGGGGAUAACUACUGGAAACGGUAGCUAAUACCGCAUAACGUCGCAAGACCAAAAAGGGGGACCUUCGGGCCUCUUGCCAUCGGAUGUGCCCAGAUGGGAUUAGCUAGUAGGUGGGGUAACGGCUCACCUAGGCGACGAUCCCUAGCUGGUCUGAGAGGAUGACCAGCCACACUGGAACUGAGACACGGUCCAGACUCCUACGGGAGGCAGCAGUGGGGAAUAUUGCACAAUGGGCGCAAGCCUGAUGCAGCCAUGCCGCGUGUAUGAAGAAGGCCUUCGGGUUGUAAAGUACUUUCAGCGGGGAGAAAGGGAGUAAAGUUAAUACCUUUGCUCAUUGACGUUACCCGCAGAAGAAGCACCGGCUAACUCCGUG
RNAcentral lists this ribosomal RNA (490 nucleotides) under uncultured bacterium. RNAcentral's name for it is "partial 16S ribosomal RNA". It matches the Rfam family "Bacterial small subunit ribosomal RNA", at positions 30 to 507 of the family's 1533-position model. The record is from RNAcentral.